This 673-nucleotide small RNA is filed under the name Pan troglodytes (chimpanzee). Its description in RNAcentral is "retained intron". The record is from RNAcentral. Lineage: Eukaryota; Metazoa; Chordata; Mammalia; Primates; Hominidae.
GUAGCCAAUGACAUUUUGUAUUUUUCAUUUAGCUUGUAACACUUCAAGAAGCAAAACUGCUGCUAAACGAAGAUGAUUACCUUAUUAAAGCUGUAUAUGACUACUGGGUGAGAAAACGUAAAAACUGCAGGGGGCCAUCCCUCAUUCCUCAGAUAAAACAAGAGAAAAGAGAUGGCUCUACCAACAAUGACCCUUAUGUUGCCUUUCGGAGAAGAACAGAGAAAAUGCAAACUCGAAAGAAUCGUAAGAAUGAUGAAGCCUCUUAUGAAAAGAUGUUGAAACUGAGACGAGAAUUUAGUAGAGCCAUAACAAUUUUGGAAAUGAUUAAGAGAAGAGAGAAAACAAAACGAGAAUUAUUGCACUUAACCUUAGAAGUUGUGGAGAAAAGGUAACAUUGCUCCUGUUACAACAGUAAAAUGACAACUUUACCAAAUGAUGGGCAAAAUGAACCAAAAGAUUUUUAGGGGGGAACAGGUUAAGCUUUAUGACAGUUGAUAUUGAUUCUGUAAGAAUUUAUAUUUUUUAAAGAUUUGUGGUUACUAGUUUUUAUAGAUUAAGUUAUCAAUUUGGAUUGCAGAUUUUGGGAGAGUUUUGUGUAUACUGUAGAUCCUAUACUUAAUUUUGUUUUGGCAGAAUCAUUGAAUUUUAUUUAGUAAAGAACUCUAGUGAUCAU